Molecule: long non-coding RNA, 32576 nt
Filed under: Eucalyptus grandis
Lineage: Eukaryota; Viridiplantae; Streptophyta; Magnoliopsida; Myrtales; Myrtaceae
Description: long non-coding RNA (EGRA_LNC003058)
Source: RNAcentral
CUCUUCUUAUCAUUAAACUCCAACUCAAUCAACAUAUUCAGGGCAAGACCAGGUUUCUGCAGAACAUUACCCAAGUUAGACACCAUAUUCUCCUGUUGUUCUUCCAUUUUCAAAAGCCGCGCCUUCAAAUUCUGCAUCUGCACUUCAAAGCCUUUCCUCUCUUCUUCAUGCACCUGUAGCUCCAACUGAAGAGAUUCCUUGUCGCUUUUAAGCCUUUCUACCUCUUCCUUCAGUCCUUGUGUCUCUGCUUCAGUUAAAGGAGAAGAACUUCCCUGAUUUUGGAGAUUCUGAAGGGAAUGGCUGUGGACUGGUUUCCCCCGAUGGAUGUUCUUCAGAAGCUGCGGCUGACCUCCUACGAAAUCCUCGUCCGCAAAUUCCCAUCGUUCUGGGUCAAUUUUCCUAAAACCCUGUCCAAAAGCGAAAUGUACAUUUAUUGCAAGUUAUACGUUUGCAUGAUCACUUCAUAGAAAGCCAAAUCGUAUCAGAAGACAGGAGCAAGCAGAAACGCAAGUAGAAAGGACUCAGAGGCUUCAAACCUGCAGGAAAGAAUUCUCAAUUUGUUCUAGCUCGACCAGUCCCUGUUGGACAGAGGCUUUCCAUUGUUUGUACAAGAUGCCUCGAUCUAGAGCCCAAUCAGAUAACUUUGGGCACUCGAAAAUGCUUAUCCAGCACUCAUCUGGAAUUUUCGAAUUGACUAUAUUAGAGAAGCUUUCCAAUGAUCCGCAAUGGUUAAAAUCCAAUCUUUUGAUAGUCUCUAGUUCAUCUAGGCCCUUAACCGCCAAAAGCCCUUUGCAUCCUUGAAUUACCAAGGAAUCCAGCUUUUUCAAAUCCGCUAGAUCAUCUAGACAUUGAAUCUCAGGACAUUCUUUUAUUACCAAUUGUUCCAACGACUCUACCGAACCAAGACCCUGGAUUGCAGUUAGAUUUGGGCAAUCAAUUAGCGUCCACAGCUUCAACCUCUUCAACCUCGAAAGACCAGCAAAUCCCAUGAGAAAUUCUAACCCUUCCACUUGGAAUUCAAUUAACUGUUCAAGCCCAUCGAGUUGAACUUCAAUCCAUUUACAUUGAUAAAUGCGCAAACAUGUCAGGUUUCUCAAGUUGCAACAAAAUGAUAAACUGCUUAUUGAUUUAUGAUAUUCAAGCGAUAAUGUUGACAGAGACAGUGGAAGGAACAUGAGGCAUUGUCUGAAUGGACCAUCUUGGAUGAACAAAGGAUGCCGGAUCUUAUCACUACCACCAUAGCUCAAAUCCACCAAUUUAGUUAGGUUUGAGAGAUCUGGUACCCACUGCAGCAAACUUGCUCCAAAGCUUAGGCUUAUCAAACUAGUGGGAAGCUCAGGCAAUACUACAAGUUCUCUGCAACGCCAUAAACUCAAUUUCUCUAGGCGAGGAGGUAGUUUGAUAGUCACCAGAACAUUUCUAAUACAGGUCACUUGCAAGUUAAGGACUCUCAAAAGUGACAAUUUCCCAAUGUCUUUGGGAAUUUCCCAUUCCAGAGAUGGGCAAUCAUUGCCAUGUAGCUCUUCCAACUCUUUUAGAGCGAGAAUACUCCUCGGUAGCUCACUUAUCGAAGAAUUCGAAAUGUUAAGGACUUUUAAUCUACUCAGGUCUCCAAUAGAUUCGGGUAACUGCAAACAUCGUGUUCCCGACACAUCCAACUCAAGUAGCAAUUUCAAGUUCCCAAUAGAGAUGGGAAGUUCCACUAUUUUAGUAUGCGAUAGUAAGAGAGACUUAAGAUCCUUUAGAUUCCCAAUAGAACUAGGAAGCUCAUCAAUUUCUGUAUAUCGCAAUUUAAGUACUGACAAGCACUUUUGGUUGCCAAUGGAGUCGGGUAAUCUUGUGAUGGCCGUACACGAGAGAUCCAACUCUACCAGUGAUGCCACUCUCACAAAUGAUUCAGGCAGCUUCCUCAACCUUUUGCAAUUGCCUAAAUACAAGUACUUGAGAUUCUCUAACCCUCCGAUUCCUUCGGACAACUCUGUAAGACUUGUACACCCAUCCACAUUAAAGUAAAUCAGGCACUUAAGCUUUUCGAGGGAAUCAUCAACUUCAAUCAGUCUUUUGCAAUUUUUAAGGACCAAUCGCUCUAAAUUCAAAUAAUCAGAGAAAUUUGGACUCCUGGUCAUGCUGUUGCAAUUUGUGAGAUUCAAAACUUUCAGCUUCUUGCUAACCUGUUACCAUAGCUAAAAGAGUGUAAAGGGAACGUAAUAUGCGAAUUUAGAGGCAAUAAAUAGCUGUGUUGGAACUGAGUUGUAAUUGUGGUGGCUCCUUUUCCCAAUUAAACCCAAGCAGACCCAUUCAUUUUAGUACUAAGACCUAUCCAACCUGUACCGCAUAUCUCCACCUACAUAUCAGUACAACUUCCUCGUCAUAUGGUAAUUAAUACAAUCUAACUGUCAAUUGUUUAGUUACAAGACCAGGUCAGUUUUACUUGUGGAAAAACUCGAUCACUCAUGACCCAUUUUAUUUAAGUGUUAUUGCCUAUAUAAUUAUGGUAUAGUCAAUAGGAGUUAAACAAUUUAACUAAGAUAGAUAUAAAGAAAUAGCAAAGGAUUGCACCUUAAUUUGACUCCAUCCGGUCCAGUUCUCCGUGAUAGAACUAAAAGACAGGUCGAGAACUACAAGAUUGCUUGGAUGGAAGGUGAUGGCGAAGAGCUCUAGAGGACACCUAUGCCAGGACAUGUAUCUCAACUCUGAAAGCUGAUUCUUGAAGUCUCCAUCAAACUGUCCCCAACGCACUUUGAGGAACCUUAACUUUUGAAGCCUUGAAAACUCCUUGCUCGUAUAUGUUCCUGGUGCACUUCCUUCUAAGCAGAUUGCUUCAAUGUCAUCCUUUCUCUAUCAUUCAAUGGUAAUAUAACAUUAGAGUAAAUGAAAAAUGUCUUCACUCUCUCUCUCUAGAUUAAAAAAGGGCUCCAAAUUAAUAAAUGAACUACUGGGAAUAGUAUAGAAUUCGAGAGUCGAUUGUAUUGUUUUACCUCUUCUGUUCUUAUGAUAUUCACGGCCAUCUCAGGAUUCCACAACCUGCUCUGCUUUCUUGGAUCUAUUGGCCUCGUAUCUCCACAAAUAAUUUUCCUUCCAAGAUCCCUCAGUUGAUCAUGCAUCCAGAAUUUGUUGUCAUCAGUUAUGUUUAUCAAAGACAAGUUCACAAGGACUGGAAUCGAAUAAUCUGGCCUAAACCCACAAUCUUUCCACAUGUAGAAUGCGUUCGUCUUGUCUUCAUCUACAAAGAGACACGCAAUGUCGAGAAAGAUCUGUUGUUGUCGAUGGUUGAGGGCAUUGAAGCUAAUCUUCAGCUUGUCCUGGACCUUCUCAUGAGGUAUUUCCCUCAGAUCGUCCAGAACAUCCAUCCAAAAAGCUUUGUUUUGGCGACAAAGUAAUGAGCCUAUGACUUCAAGUGCUAAGGGAAGUCCUGCAGUCGUAUAAACCACUUCUCUCGAAAGACUGACAUAAUCGUUUGGAGCAAUUCUUCCGAAAGCAUGUCUACUGAAAAGCUUGAGCGAUUGAACGUGAUCCAACGGAUUCACUUGGUACUCAAAAGUGUAAUCGGCUUCUAAGAUGCUUCUAUUCCUAGUUGUCAUAAUGAUUCUGCUUCCUGAGCCAAAGGAAACGUGCUUGAUAGCUAGUUUCUCAAGUUGUUCCUUAUCAUUUACGUCGUCGAGCACCAUGAAGACUUUCCUGUUGGAAAGUCGCUGUGCAAUCAGUUUGACCCCAUCACCAUCAUCGAUUCCGUUGUGAAAGCCCGAACCAAACAUGUUAGAUAAUAUUUGUUUCUGUAAGGCUACAAAGCCAAAGCUGCUCGAAGAUUCCCAGACAUUUUCCAGGAAGCAGCAAUGACUGAAGAGGGAAUUUAGUUUGUUGAAUACAACCUUAGCAAGAGUCGUUUUACCGAUUCCGCCCAUUCCAUGGAGUAGUACAAAGCGCACGCCUCCUGAGUCCACGUCCAACAACUUCACAAUGGCUUCCACUCGCUCAUCCAUUCCUAUUAAAUGCUUAGUGACAUGUUUGUCUUUUAUCUUCAGCUUCGUCAAAAUCUCUCGUACCACUGAUUCAAUAAAGUUCCAGUACCUGCCACGGUAGAGAGUCAUCUCAGUCGAAAUUGUAAAUGAUAACCUUGGGACACUCAGUAAGUGGCAUUUUAAAUUUAAAUAACUUUCUAAUCCUACAGUUAAGCUUACUGAAUCAACAGUGCACCCCAAAGGAAGAGACAUUUUAGGUGCUUUUAGAACACGACGUCCUACGAUUCUAGCAAAUAAUCAUAUGCUGAUAUUAUGAACCCUUUUUAUGUACUUGCCCUCGAAAUGGUAACACCUCCAACAGGCAAUGGGGAAACUUGCUCCAGUGCCAUGUAAGAAUCUUUUAAAAGGAGAGAAGGUAACUUUUAAGGAGGUAAUCCAUAAUUUACGAACACGAUGACAUAUAAAAUUAGAUCUGUCAACGAAAGAAUUAGAGGAAAAACACAAAAUUUCAAAAGAAAUACUCCUUGUCUUUAUUAACCCAUCUCCCCCGCUAAACUUACCAGAAGACAAAUAGAAUUUGACUGAAUACAUACCCGGCUCCUGCUCUAUUUGGUUUGGGUGAAAUCAAAUGGAUGAUUUUAGUUCUAAAAAAAAUGGUAUUCAUUCCAUUUCAAACCGCCUAAACGAGAUCUCACACAAACUCGUACACAAUGAAUUCCAAAAAAAAAAAAAAGUUGCGGAGUGAUUUAGGACACUACAUACCCUUGCUUUUUCAACUCCCAUCCUUUGAUUUGGGCUACACUUUUCAGUGCUUCCUCCCACUUUCGCCUCUCCUGGCAGCCAAACCUUUCCUCAUGCUCCUUCAAAGCGCCAACGUACAAUUGAGACUUAAGCUUAACAUCGCGAGGCUCCACGUCAUAGAAAAUUGGCAUAAUCUCCUUUUCGGAUGGUUUGGAUUUCAUGCACUCCACCAUGUGCGCCAGCUCACGAAGGCACCAUGCACUCGAAGCAUAACCUUUAGAGAAGACGGGUACGUAGAUCUUCGACUUUUCGAUGGCCGUUGGCAAUUCAUCACUUAUUCUUUUACCGACAUGGAGCUCUUCCUCAUCGAGGAAGACAUGGAUGUUUGCUUCUAGCAUCAUGCGAUAAAGGCAAUCUAUGAAUCCUUGGCGAGUGUCCAGCCCUCUGAAACUCAAGAAGACCUUGUAAUCAAUUGCCGAUGGCUCGCCGUCACUCGUUCCAGCCUCCAAGCUCUUUCCCAAGUCCACUGUGCCGAGUAUUUUUGCCUCGGAGUUUCCCCUCUCGAAGUCUGAAAGCCCCGCCGACGACUCACCGCCACUCGUUCCAGCCUCCGAGCUCUUUUCCAUGUCCACUCUCCGGAGUCUUACUGCCUCAGCGUAGCUCCUCGUCAGUGAACGUCUCUGUUUCCAACGUCUCCGUCGCUGCCGAUCCCUCAACCUAGCUUCUCUCGCCAAGGAAAUUUGCCCUUCAUACCAGGUCUCGAAAUCCGCGAUCCGCGUGGUCAUCUCCACGUCCUCAUCGGAAAAAGGCCCCAAAUUCAAAUCCAGGUUCAUGGUAUCAGACGUCUCCUCUCCCAUGGAUGCAACAGCUUUACAAAUCACAAGCCGAAUUCAAGUAUCUGUCUCUGUCUCUCCCUCAAGUAUCCGUUCCCGGAGUCUCCGUGGAUGUGUUUGUCCCGUCGUGGAUGAGGCUUGAGAGAGAUGAAAUCCACAAGGCUAAGGGUUUAGCUUGUUGUCUAUAGGACAACCCAGAGAGAGAGCGAUAGAGAGGUGUUUUUGUAACUGUUGCCUCUCCUUAAACCCUAUGAAGCAUAGAUACUCUCGGGAGCCUCCCUAUCGGUGGGUGUCCACCCCACAGUCAACAGACGUCAGAAAAUCCGACACGUUAAUCAACUCGUCAACUCUCCCCACACGCUGUGACAUGCGAGUCCGGAAUUGGAAGAGGCACGGUGGGUUUCUAGGGUGGGUUUGCAAGUGCGAAGGUAGAGAGAAUUGUUGAAGAAGGCGAUGGAGGAUGGAGGCGAGAGUGAGGGAGCGGAGGCGAGACUGCGAGCGACAAUGAGGCCGUGACUGCAAGGGAGGGCCAGAGCAAAAAGCAGAGAUCAAGCCGACCGAGAAGGCCGCGAUUGCGAUGCUGCGAUGGAGGGCCAGAGGUAAGGCUACGAUUGUGAAGAAGCCACAAGCUGAUCAAGAAUAGGGGCACACAUUAUAAUAAAAUAUUAUAGGAGCUUCAAGAAGCAGAAAAGCAAGGUUCAACUUGCUAACUUGAACGUCAAGGAAAAGUUGCAGUCCACAAUUGUUGAAUCCUUAGCCAAGAAGAAAAUGAAAGUCCAUCAUGCAUGAAGUGUAAAGUGCAGGCGGUGGAGUCCUGGCGGUGGAGAUGUGUAUAAAUAUAUGUACUUACGUGAGUUUAUUUUGAGAGAGAGAUAGCUUUAGAAGCAUACAGAAAGAUAAGAGAGUUUUAAGCUUAGCAAAGCUUGUAUGUACUCCAUAUUAAGCCUUCGCAAGGCAUUUUAAGUACUAUAAUCUCUAUUUGUGUGUUUGCACUCUCUCCUUGCCAAAUCCUUCGAAGCUCGUUUAUCUUUUGGUUCCAACACACGCUACAUUUUAUGGAAAGGUUUCUUUAGCCGGCCCUUUUUCUCUGAAAGGGUCUCUUUUCUUCUUUUCUUUUUUCGGUUUUUGGGAAAGGACAAACGAGUUCAUUAUUACUCAAAUUGACGACAUUCCUAAAACAUCUCUAACCUACGCAAAUUGGGUCUCUCGUCCGAACUUCGAGAUUGCCUGAAAGUAAAACAAAAGAGGUUAUCGGCUAUAGAGCCGAAAGAAAAGAUAUUAUAACAAUUGAAGACAGACACGACAUGUUAAAAUUAUGAGUGUAUCUGUAAAACCCGAUACUAGAAGAAUUACAUGGGGAAGGGGAUGCAAAUGAGUAUGGCUAUUUACAAAGACCAAAAUCAGAUUGCGGAUACACGAGGCGCCAAUAUGGGCCGCACUGUCCAGGAAAUACAACAAGGAAUAGUUUCAUCCACAAAAUUCAUGGAGAUUUUUCUAAAAUAAUAAAUGAAAGAUUAUCCAGUUAGCACAACUUGAAAUAAUUCCUUGUUUAAGUUUUCUAUCAACUUAAAACACAUUCUUCACCUCUUCCUACCAUCAUUAUAAGAGGGCUCGUUGAUCAUUCUUUAUUAGCAAAAGCAAAAUUUUAUCUAAACGAAGCUACAUUGUGUAUGUCAUUGAUAACUUAAUUUGAUUUCUUGCACAUUAUUUUUUAAUGAACUAUUAACUGGAUAAAAUAGUAGCUGUUUUAAUUUUUUUUUUCUGAACUCGUACUAUUUAAUACGCUUCUUAUGAUUCUUUUGUUUCAAAAAAGGCUAGCAAGGGUCUUUGCACAUAAUUUUUUUUUUUUUGAACUUUUACUAGGAUCUCCUCGCCAGGUUUAGCAAGGGGUAGCCUCGCCCCACCCUCGCCAAAGGCCAGCAAGGGUCAACUUGCCUAUGGCCGACAAGGGUAUCCUGCCCCUCACCCUCGUUGGCGACUAGCAACUCCACUAGCCAUCAUGGAGGUGGCAACUAGUGGCGAAGGGAAAUAAGGAAAAAAGAGUAAGGAAAAGAAGAAUAAAUAAGAAAAAAAGAAGAAAAAAUAGUAAUUAAAAUUCUAAAAAAUAUUUCAAAACUUAAAAAAGGAAUCUAUGAAGUCUCAUAUGGCGACUUCAGCACUACCCAAAACUUCAUUUAUUCUUAUGGAGCAUAUGUACUAAUGCACUCCCAACAAAGGAAAACCUCCAUAAGAGGAAAGUAGUACUUGAUCCACAAUGUCCAUUGUGAUGUAAAGCCUAAAAAAUGCUUGAACACCUAUUCUUUCUGUGUGAAUGGACAAAACCAUGGUUAGAUCCUCGAAUAAAGCUGAACACAACUACGGAAGAGAUCCCCAAAAUGGAUAGAUGGCUCAUAGAGAACCUAACCUCCCAAGAUGGGUCAAACCCAAAUGCACUCCUGGUUCUUUUUUUUUUUUUUUUUUGGUUGGGUACUCUGGCUUUUUUUUUUUUUUGUGGUAUAAUAUGGUGCUUUCAUUCAUUCAUAAACAACGAGGAUCACAAGAAACGAUAGAUAAGUUUCCAAACAUAAAAUUUCCGAGAGGAGUAAGGGAGGAAAAUACAUCCAAUUUUGAGGGAGAGUUUUGGUUCAGUGAGCCUUAGCGAGCCAAUCUGCGGCCUUAUUGGCCUCCCAAGAGCGAUAUGCCAGCGUCAUCGAGUCGAGUUGGGCUAAUAUUCCUUUACAUUGCUCUAUUAUAUCCUUCACGUUCCAAGGGUCUUCAGCCCAACCCAUGAUACUUUCCACGAAAGUCAAACUAUAUGUUUCGCACUCUAGCUUCUCAUUUUGUACUUGCUUUGUCCCAACCGUUCCCAUGUGUUCCUCCUUUUUCAGCCUCAAAAACUCCAGCCCGUGCAGAACAGCUAGGGCUUCAGCUUAUAAAGAGGAUGGCGCACGAACCUCUCGCACGAAGUCAUUGAUGACUAUUUUGGCCUGAUCUCGCAAGAUUCCAGCGACUGAACCUAAGAAUUCUCCUUGUACCCAUGAGCAAUCAACAUUUAAUUUCAUUGAUCCUCUCCCCAAUGGCGUCCACUUGAUCGAUAAGUUCAGAUUUGUGGGUUUCUUUGCUCCAUUUUUCUUUUGCCAUCUGCUGAAGUUCUUUACUUAUGCUUCCACUAUGUCAACAAUGGAGUCCGGAUCUAGUGGCUUGGCUCGAAAUAUGAAGUUGUUGCGAGUUUUCCAUACUAACCAAAGCACCACCACGACCAACUUGUUCUCAGCUAAGUCAUUGCUCCCUUCGAACCUCUUUGAUAGCCACUUAUCAAACCUAGAAAUAGUGUAGGGAUUGCAGGGAUUGCAGCUUAGGUUGAUUCGUGGGUCUACCCAUAUGUGUUUUGUUCACUUGCAGAACAAAAACAAGUGCUCGGUUGUCUCUGAAUGGGUGUUGUAGAGCGGACAAAUUGGGUCAGGUAACCCCUUCCUUCUGUAUAGGUUCUUUUUUGAUGGUAUAGCAUCUUGACAGAUGCUCCAAAUAAAAGUUCGCAUUUUCGGGGGGAUAGUUAAAUUCCAGAUUUUAGUCCAUAUGGUUCUAGAAGGCUAGAACGAACUUGAUACUCUAUUUGGUUCUAUUUUUGUGGUUCAGGAACAAGCUCUAUUAUAGCCGCUCUUUACUGUGUACAUUCCUGAUUUGUUGCCUAUCCAUACAAGAUUAUUACCUUUAGGGUAGGGUUGAUUGGGAUAGCAAGGAUUUCGUUAGCUAGACGAUCUUCAAAAAGGUUCUAAAUCUUUAUUUCUUUCCAUCCCCGGCUUUGUUAAUUAAUAAGCUUAGCCAUCAUUAUAGGGUCAUCUUUAUUUGCCAGACCGCCGAUCACACCUGAUGUAAGCCAUUUGUGCUCUCAUGUUCGAAUUGAUUUUCUAUCACCCACCCUCAAUUCUACCUCCAAUUCUAUGGCCUCUCUCCCUACCAAAAUGCUUUGCCAACCCCAUAAUGGGCGUUGCCAUUUUCUUACCUUCCACAAGUCUCCAUUUGGGAAGUAGACACCUUUUAGAAUCCUGCUCCAUAGAGCUGAAGGGGAUUGAGAUAACCGCCAAGCUUGCUUACCUAGCAUUGCUUUGUUGAAAUUUAUCAAGUCUUUAAAUCUAAGCCCCCUUCAUCCUUUCUAGUUUUCAUUACUUCCCACUUUUUCCAAUGCAAUCAUCUCCUUGAAUCAUUUUGUUUCCACUAGAAAAAGGUGAUUCUUCUUUCGAUAGCAUUGCAUAUCGAGACGGGUAUUUUAAAUAUCGACAUCGCAUAUUAAGGAAUGGCUUGUACUGUCACACCUCGAACCUUGAGCACGUGCAUAUCCCUCGGUGGUCGAUAGAAUUUUGUGGCGUUCCCAGAACUCAUCCCCAACCUUUUUCAUUUUAUUGGACAUGCGGGAGCAGAUUAACUAAUCUCCUAACAAUGACAUACAUGCGAUAGAAAAGCAGGACAACAAUUUCCCAAAUCAAAACACACUUUCAAAAACAUCUCAGGUUCUUAUACAGAAGGUCUAUCUAAAAAAGAGCUACUAAGUCAUUUAUGCUCCAGACCCUUCUGCUUCAAGCUCUUGGUUCUUCACACUAGAGACCUGAAAAUGGUUAUAUAAUAACCAGUGAGAUAUAAAUCUCAGCAAGUCCUCCCCCUAAGCCCCGAUUAAUACACCAACUCAACUCGGUGUACCUCUUCAGAACCACCCCACAAACAGAUCAAAGAUCAACAACCAACACUCAAUAGUCGGUUCGCAUGCAACCUUACCUGAUAUGCCACACUCUACACGUUGAAUCUCAACACAAUACACGUAAUGCACAUGUCCAUUAGAUGAUGCAGUUCAUCAAUCAUAUAUGAGUCGCAUCACAAGCGAUCUCACAUGGCCAUUGCCACACCUUGCAUGUUAUCGGUUCAUGCAUGCAUGCCAUAAACAAUAUGCUCAACCCAUGCAUAAUUGGAACUAAUAAUGCCAUGAUUUUCAUACUCUCUAGCACUUUAGUGUGCCACCUAUCCCUCAUCAAUCGAUCACAUGGGUCCCGAUUAUAAAGUAAAAUCAUUAUGACAUGUCCCAUACCGUGCCACACAAUUUUACCCCAUAAUAAGGCCCAACCAACUCAACCCUCACGCGUGCUCUAGUUAUUAAUGACCUACCGGCCAUAGCUAACUUUCCAGUUAGUGAUCAUCGAUCUCAAUACUCAUGCGUGCUCUAGUUAUUAACGACCUCCUGGCCAUGGCUAACUUCCCAGUUAGCGAUCAUUCGACUCCCGCCGGGCUAUCGAUGAAAAUCGGGCUUCAUCCAGCCCCGUCGGGCACGGCUACGUUUAGAACUCCCAUUCAGACGGUAUCCCCAAAGAGGAACAUCGAUCCGGAGUCUAUUGCAACCGGCUUCGAACUCCCGCCGGGUAUUGCCCCCAAACUCCCAUUAGGUGACGGUUAAACUUUUAAUCACGCAAGUUCACUACGACCCCCUUCUUAUCUAUGAGCAUUUAAUCAAUGCAAAUCAAUGCACAAUGCUUGCAAAUAUAAUUUCAAAUUGUUUUCCUCUAAAGGCGGUCCAUUUCGGUGUCCCUUGGACAAUGCAUAUUUCCCUUUUUUGUGAAAUUCACUCAAUUAAUGCGGAUGCUCAUGCAUUUAUACACUCAAAUCACCUCAUAAAAUCAAAGCACAUGAAAUUAGGCACUUUUUUAUUUCCGGGUGAACAGUGUUUUGUGAACGGUAACUCGUGAAAAGUAUUUCAUAUGAACAGUAAAUUUCCAAAAUUAAAUAACUAAUAAAUUAAAUCCACAAGUCAUUGAAAACACUAAUUGAAGCAAGUAAGGCAUCAAGAACCAUCACCAAAGUAAAAUUGAUCCUAAAUGGCAGAAACGGAGCUACUCGCGUGUCUCCAAGUUUAAAUCCAAAAACCUAACCAAACGAGUUUAGAAAAUUUCUAAAUUUGAAUAUAUUGUAAACGACACAUAAACAAAUAUUUUUCAUGCAGACACCUUAACUCAGAUCCUUCUAGAUUCAACCCAGUAAAUCGCUCAAUCCAACACCAAAAACUGGGUCCGUUUCCAGAAAGUAUGUUUUCCUAAAUCAGUUUGGUUCGAGAUCCAAAAUAUAUCCGUUUGAUCUGAAAUUUGAGUAUGUUAAACCAGAAUAUGUAACAAACAACUUUUGUAAAGAAACUAUUUUAAAAUUCGAACUCUAAGAGUUGAUAAAAACUCCUAAAUCCUAAAAGGUCACCAGUUUUAGUAAAAACUAAGGUUCUGUUUGAAAAUGACGGAGCUGAUAUCUCCUUAUUUUGAAUCUCUAAAAAUCUUGAGAAAAAUAUAUAUUGUAGCUAAAGAUGUCUAAAACAUUUCUCUAUAAGUGAUCAACCUCAAAUUCAUGACUCAUUUUGAUCUACAAAAAUGGGAAACAGCGAGAGGCUAGAGAUCCGAAUUGCAGGGAGUCCACUGAUUUAGACUAAUUCAUCUCAAAGGUGCUAAUCUCACUAAUUAGAUUAACACUAAUCCAUUCUAAGGCUAAUUUAACCAUUCUAAAUUAUCAUUUUUCCAUACUUAAGCUAAUAUAAACAAUCCUUAAGCAUAAUUAACCUCCAAGCAAGUUUAGGCACUAAUAAAAGGAUUAUGAGCUAAACUCACCCGUUAAACGGGCCUGAGACACGGACGCGGCGGCAACGACGAAGGCUAUGCACCGAAACCACAACCACGACAAUCUAAGGCGGUCCCAAGAUUGAAACAGCAACCGCAAGCUCAAACUCCCUUUGCAACUCCAAGAAACCAAACAACAGACCAGGAAAAGUAGUCAAACGGCUUCACCGGAGCUCCGGCGAGCUGGUGGUUGGCAACCGGCGACACCCAAGGGUCAAGGGGGACAUGCUGGUAGUGAGAAUGAGUGGAGGAAGGGUCGGAAUGGGUGAAAAAACGAAGAAAAAACGAAACAGUUCCCUCCAAGCGAACUCUAGGCGGUCCGGCGAGCAGCGGCUUCUCACUGGAGGAUGGGACGACCGGCGGAUCUUUUCGGCGUCCGUAUCCUCCAAUGACGGGACUGAUGUGCUAAAGAUGAUGGUGGGGCGCACAAGCACUUUUAACUAGUUUUUCACACGAAGGUCAGCUGGAGCAGAAACUGGAAGAAGGAGAAAAUAAGGGAGGAAAGAGUCCGGCGAUGGCUUCGAUGGCCUAGGCGGUGUGCGAUGGCCAAGGGGAGGGUGCUGUUGGCUUUCCUCUAGUUUCACAAGCUCUCUCAAUACUUCAAGAAUGGAGAAAGGAGGGGGAAAGGGGAAGAAGAAGUCUGCUAGUCAAGGAGAGGACCACAAAACAUCCAAUGCACUUGAGUUCUUGCCCCACCAGUUGGUCUGUCAUCCUUAGCCCUUUGAUAGCCCAUAAGCUUCCUCAACAAACUUGACAAUAGGUCCAAAAUGUUAAGGGGCAUGGGGGCUACAAAUUUGUGACGCUUUCCUCUUCGAUUCCAUUCCAUCCUCUUUAAUUUUCAUUCAAUUUCUCUUCCAAUUGAGUCAAAUUGAAGUCCAUAAAAUCCACCAAUGUGCCCACACUUAAUUCCACAAUUUUCCUUGUCCAUAGAUCCCACUUGAUGACAAAAAAUGCAACCAAAGGUUGGCCUACGAAUUUUCCGGUCCAAAAUACCCUUUGAAUAUUCAUCGAAAAUCUCAGUUUGCAAAAUUUUUUUCCCUAAAAUGAAUUGUGACAUUAUAGAACUUUAAAUUUCUAAAAUCGGGUUUAAAUUUGCGAUUAAUUUCAAUCUAGCGCGAUUUUAACGCGUCUGAAUCUACCGGGUAGCUUUUAGGAAUUUUUGGCGCAUUUGACCUGUGGUUGAUUAUUUUCAAGUCACAAUGUACAUCUUCGAUACAUUAGCGACUCUCGGUUGUCGUGAAAAUCUCAAGGUUUCAAAUAUGGGCACAAUGUACAGAAAAGACAAAAUAAUCAGUCCAGUAUCGUUCAAUGAAAAUUUUGUAAUCAGGUGGAAUCACCCAUUCACUGAUCAUAUAUCUUAGUCGAAUCAAUCUAUCUCUAAUCUCUAAUUGAUUUCGACAGUGCCGUAUUGACCCUUGCAGAUUAGCACGGUCGAGUAGUCGGUUUCUAGUCGAAUUCUCGAGUCUGUAGCGUUAAAAUUCCUUAACGGCUUCACCCGAUAGAUCAAUUAACUCGCAAAUGGCCAACUUAGAGAAAAAAACUAUAGGCGAGUCGAUGAAAAGCCUGACUCAUUCAAUUGAAAACAGAAAUGGAAAAUCAAGAUGUCACAUGCACUACACUUUUUAUUAAGGUUUCUUUGCCUGCUUUGGAUAGUAGCUUUUCUUUCCAGCCCUCAAGCUGCGUGUUUACUCUAGCGAGGAUCCAGGCGAACAUCUUUUUUUUUUACUGGCCCCAAUCUGUCGAAAUGCCAAGAUAUUUCCAUGUCUUAUCUAUGAUCGGUACUUUGAGCUCUUGAGCCAUGUUCCUCUUUAGAUUUAAAGGGCAUCCACUGUUGAAACAUACUUUUGAUUUGUUUAGGUUCAUGGCUUGACUUGUUGCGAAGCAAUACUAGUUUAAAACGGCUACUAGAUUUUGACAUUCUCUGAUAAUCCCAUCGAGGAAAAAAAUAGCAUCAUCGACAAAGAGUAGGUGGGAUAGGGUAGGGUAGUACGUGUUCAAAGUUAUUCCUUUAAGGAUCCCAUCUUAUGGCUUUGUGCAUUAGCCAUGAUAGGACAUUCACCACUAGAAUGAAAAGGUCAGGGGAAAGAGGGUCGCCUUGUAUGAUUCCCUGUGAUGGUGUGAAAUAUUGCAUAAGCUCCCCAUUAAUCUUCACACUAAGGGUGCGUUUGGUAAUGAUUCCAUUCCUGAGAGUAGAUUCUAAUUAGAAAUGAUUCUUUUUUAUUCUGUUCCCGGGAACAAAUUCUAAGCAUUUUAAACCGUUUGGUAACUGUCUAAAAUUUCUGAUUUUGGAAUAGAAUUACGUUUGGUACCGUGCUCAUUGAUUCUGUUCCAAAUCAAUAUCUUUUAAUUUUUAAAUAAUUUUUAUACUUUUUUUCCUUUUUUCUUUUCUUUUUUUCUUUUUUUUCUUUUUUUUUUUUCUUUUUUCUUCCUUUUUCUCCUAUUCUUCUUCUUCUUCAGGCCAGUCGCCGGACCAACGACUAGCCAGACGAGGGUUGACGACCUCACCAAAGCGUCGCCAGCACUCGGCGACAUUGGCCCUCGUCGGUCGAGCCUCGCCGACAGCUAGGCGAGGCCUGUCUAGCCACCGGCGAGAGGUGGGACAAGGCCUACCUAGCCACCGGCGAGGCUCGCCCAGCCUCGCCGGGACCAAGCGGUCCUCGCUCAGCCCUAGCGAGGGCCGCUUGGCCACCGGCAAGGCCAAGCCUCGCCGAACUGGUUUUAUCGGUGAUUGGCGAAUAGCGGUGGACAGCGGCGGACGGCGGCAACGGGUAGUGGCAGACAGUGGCAAACAGCAACAAAGGAGGGGAGAGAAGAGUUCCACUUUUUUUAUUCUUUUUUUUGUUCCUGGAACAAGAAUCAAUUUUUUUUUUUUAUUCUUGAUUCUACUCCAAAUCUAUUCCUGAACAAAAAUUUUACCAAAAGCGAUUUUGUUCCCAAAUUGAUCCCAAGAAUAAAAAAUCAAAAUCAAGCAUUAUUUGGAUGGUUACCAAACAAUGCCUAAAAGACAUUAUUGAUACACAUUGCAUAAUCAAUGCUACCUACCUCUCGUAAAAUCCCAUUUUCAACAUGUAUUCUCUCAAAAAGUCCCACUCAACUUUGUCAUAAGCUUUUUGCAUAUCCAAUUUCAAAAUCACUUGAAAAUUAUUUUUUCUCUUUUUAAUUCUCAGCUAAUGGAUAACUUCUUGAACUAUAAGUAUGUUGUCUUGGAUUUGCCGACUUUGUACAAAGGCACUUUGUUCAAAAGUUAUAAUUUCUGGGAGCCACGACUUCAACCUAUUAGCCUCACUUUUGAUAUAAUUUUGUAGCUAAAAUUACAUAGGCUGAUAAGUCUAAAUUGGCUUAUGCUUUCUGGAUUUUUGACUUUUGGUAUUAGAGAGAUAUGUGUUUUGUUUAGGGUAAGGUCAAGAGUACUUGUCACGAAGAAGUUUUGUACUAGCUGAAACAAUUCGUGCUUUAAAUCCUCCUAAUAGUGCUGGUAAAAUUGACCAUUUAGUCCGUUGGGACCUGAAGCUUUAAGUGAACCCAAUUGGAAGACCGCUUCUUUGACUUCUUCAAUGGAUACAUUUGCCAUCGGCUUUGCAUUAAUUUUUUCAUUUACUGGACUGGGACACUGAUCUAGAAUUGAUUAAGAAUUCCUCAGACCCACCGACUUGUCUAGUGUUUGAUAAAAGUCCCCUAUGUGUUGCUUGAGUGCAUUUGGCUCCCUACACCAGGUUUCUUCAUCUACCUUCAACAUCGUGAUUCCAUUCAUCUGCCUUCUUUGCACUGCUGUGGCGUGGAAGUACUUCGUGUUGCUAUCUCCCCAUUGAAGCUAGUUGAUGCGCGAUCUUAGCCCCCAGUAUUUUUCCUUUUGUCUCCAUAGUUUGUCAAUUUGGGCGGUAAUAUUUUGAGGUUCCUCCUUGCUAAAGCUUCCUAAAGUUCUAUUAGUAAUCUCUAAUAGUGUCCUCUUUACCUUCCUAAUUCUAGUUUAUGCAUUGGAGAACUUGUCUUUACUCUAGGUUGCUAGUUUUUUAGAGAUUUUUUGAACUUUUUCAGAGAAGCUGUUAUCAUUUGAUAAAUUUCCAUUCAAUGUUCUCUUUAUGAUCUCCCUGCAUUCUUGAUCUUCCAACUUGUAAGCUUCGAGCUUGAAUUAUUUUUUUCUUUUCUUACUUUCAGGAUGUAACACAAUAAGAAGUGGGUUGUGGUCUGAGCCAAUAACUGGUAGAGCCUGAAUCUCAGCAUUUGGGAAGGUAACCCUACAAUCCAUAGUGCAUAGAACUCAAUCUAGUUUUUUUUUUUUUUUACUAGGUCCUCUCCUUCUCUGUUAUUCGCCCAAGUAUAAGCAAACCAUUUACUAUCUAUAUCCAUUAGGGAGCAAUCAUGUAAGAGUUCACAGAAGGCUGCUAUGCAGUAGUGGUCGGCUUCUCUCUUUCCUACAUUCUCUCAAAUGUACAAAAUUUCAUUGAAAUCCCCCAUACAAAUACACGAUAAUAGGUUAUUUGACUGGAAAUCCCUCAAUUUUUGCCAUAAAAGUAGCCUCUCCCCAUAGUUCAUAGGAGCAUGGAGGAAAGUUAUUCUCAUUUGAUAGCCACUAGUCAGGUCUUUACAUUCCAAAUUGAUGAAUGCUUUAGUGCUAGAAUUCACUCUUAAACCCACAUCUUCACUCCACAUAAGUGUUAAUCCUCCUAUGAUGCCUUCCGAAUUUUCUAAAAAUAUAUUUGGGAACUUCAGGCAUCUUCUGACAUCCUCUACCAUCGUCUCCUUGUUCUUGGUCUCCAUUAAAAAAAUCAGGUUAGGCCUUUCGAGAGCUACGAGAGCUCUCAGCUCUUGAAAUGUCGGGGGGUUGCCUAGCCCUUGAUAGUUCCAACUAAUGAUCCUCAUAAUAUCUUCGGUGGCUUAUUAGGGCUAGUCACCGAAGCCCAAUCGUUUCCUUCUUUUACUACCUAAAUGGGGGUCUCCAAUAGCUCCAUAUCGUAGAUGAUAAGUGGGAUAGGGUCUGCUAUUCUUUUCUGUUUUUUUAGCCCUCUAGAUCUUCAAGCUUUUCUUGCUGUUGAUUUCCUCGUUCAAAAGUUUCAAUUUGGGAAGUUCAAGGCACAUUAUCUAUUUUCCAUUGUCUUUUUUUGUUCAUAAAGUUGGAGCCGAGCUUUCCAUUGUCUUGUUAAAAGAUGAAUUUUCUGCCCUUUUCUUGUUUCGAAUGGGAGUCACCCUUAUCUCCAAUUCAUUUCUAACCACUAUUUCCAUUCCAUAUGUUAUGGCUGGUGCUUCGGGGACUGAUUUUUCAGCAUCUGUAUUUGUUUCUAGUUUCUACCCUUGCCUUCCCUACUUUGUAUGGACCAUUUCCUUUAGAAUCCACCUGUAUUUCCAACACUCUUCCCACCCUUUCAGCCAAAUCAACAAACACUUCCUCUCUAAACCACCCGGGAGGUAUCCCACCUAUUUGUACCCAGAAUGUGCAAUGGGAAAAGUUAUAACAAUGCUCUUGGAUCUCUAGUUCACAUUGUUUAAGGACUAAAAGAUUGCUAGCGAAGGACCAAGGGCCUAUUUUUAUAAUUCUCUCUUCAUCCUCCUUCGAUUGAAAUACGAAAGAGAAAAACCCCGGCUCCUUUUGUGAGCAAACAACUGAAUUUGUUUUCCAUGCCUUCUUCAUUGUGUUGGAAAAAGCUUGAAAGUUAACAUUAGGUUUGGAGAACAACUUACCAAAUAGAGUUUGUCUGCAUUCCCUCCUUUUAUUGGAAGGGAACUCUGUCGAUACUUCUACUACAUCAUUGUUUGACCAAAGAUGGCCUAAGCUUUUACACAGAGUUGCGGCAAGUCGUUCUCUAUCUCACUUUCCAUCUCUCCUUUCUGUAGGGUCUCGACUUGUAGUCACUUCAUUUUGCUUGCUUGAAAUAGCACCUAGAUGCCGGAUAAGGAGGCUUCCUGUGAUGGCUUUUGUAGAGGUCCACCAUGAUGUUUGGUGGGCUAGAUGGAUUUGCUUUUGGGUUCUUUUGCCUUUGGGGAUUUUGGGGGUAAGAAUGAGGUUAGAUUGAAGAAAGCUCUGUGAAAAUGGGUGUGGGAUUUCUAGAAAUGGCUAAGCAAUCUAGGUUGAAGUAAGUGUUUAGUGGGAGGAGGUCCUUCAAGAAAGAGUUGCAAGGGAAAGGGUAGAGGGCAAGCUGAGAGGAUACGUCUAUGGAGUUAGGGUUUCUUUGAUGGAUAUGCAGGAGGAAGAAAAGGCUUAGGGUAUGUUUGUUUAAAAUUAUUUAUGUUUCCCGGUACACAAAUUUUUGUUAUUUUGUUCUGGGGAACAAAAAAAGAACAGAAACGUGUUUGUUUAUACUUUUGUUCUCGGAAACAAAAAAUCUAUUUUUUUUGUUCUUGGAAACAGAUUUGGAACAAAAAUUAGAAGUAGAAAAAACUUGUUUCUUGUUCUCGGGAACGCUUUCGAGAAACACUUUUUUUUUCAUCUCAUUUUUCUUCUUCAUUUUUCUCUUUCUUUUCUUCUUCUUUUCUUCUUCUUCUUCUUCUCCCUUUUUCUGGUCACCGGCCUUGGCCAUGGCUAGCACCGGCAACCGGCCAGAUGAGGGCCGGCAACCUCACCGGAACGUUGCUAGCCCAAGGAGAGGCCGAGCCUCGCCGUGGCUUGUUGUGGCCACGCGAGGCUCGGCCUCGCCUAGGCUGGGGGAGGCCAAGCUCGCUUAGCCACUGGCGAGGCUUAGCCUCACCAAGCUACCUCCAGGAUGGCGUCGCCUAGCGGUGGCCUAGCGAGGCUACUAACAUGAUACUUAUUUGAGACCAUAGAUGGACUUUUAAAGUUUGCACACCAUAUGCUCAUUUCCAGCUUCUUUAAACCCUUCGAGUUUCUACAUAUAUAUUUUUUCAUCUAGAUCUUAAUUUUAAAAAGCUGUCUUGACAUCUAUUUGGUGAAGCUCUAAAACAAAAUGAGCCACCAAUGCCAUUAUUAUCUGAAAAGAGUCUUUAGUAGAUAUUGGAGAAAAAACUUCAGUAUAAUCAAUUCCUUCUAUUUGCGUAUCCCUUUGCAACUAACCUUGCCUUGAAUCUCUCUAUAUUGCCUUUAUUGUCUUUCUUGGUUUUGAAACCCAUUUGUAGCCGAUCGGUUUUUGCCCAUCUGGCAAAUCAACAAGUUUCCAUACUUGAUUAGUUAACAUGGAAAUCAUCUCAUCAUUCAUCGCUCCUAACCAAUUAUCUGCAUGAUCACUAUUAAGUGCUUCUUUGAAAGUAGUCGGAUCAACUAUAUUUCCAAUGUCAAAAUCAAUUUCUCCAAUAUAUACAUAAUAAUCAUUUAAAGGCGUUAGUCUUUUUUGUCGCUGUGAUCUUUGCACUGGCAUUUCUGGAGCCCCAUCAUUCGUCUGGGAAUUUCAUUUGUGAUAGAAAGAUCUACCGUCAUACCUCCGGUAUCUACUUCUUGCUGAAUUUCUACUCUGCAAGGCUCCCGCAUAAAAUCAUCAUGCAAGAUGGGCAAUGGAAUAGAGAACGUUUAGUUUGGUUCUUCCCUUUUGAAAGAUUGAGAAAAACUCUUUUUAGCAACAUCUAAUUCCAAGAAUUUGGCAAUUUGGGAUUCAACGAUUCUAGUGCCACAAGUAGGACAAUAGAACAUAUACCCUUUGGAAGGGUAUCCAAUAAAGUAAGAUCUCGAAGUCCUGGAUUCGGUCUUCUUCUGAGAAGGAUCAUAAAUUUUCACCUCUGCAGGACAACCUCAAACUCGAAAGUGAUUCAAGUUUGGUUUUCUCCCUAUCCACAAUUCAAAAGGUGUUUUCGGCGCCGAUUUACUAGGUACACGAUUCAAUAUAUAAGUUGCUAUUUGAAUUGCAUCACCCCAUAAGUAUUCAGACAAAUUAGAACUGCCCAUCAUACUUCAUUUCAUCUCCACGAGCGUGUGAUUGCGCUGUUCAGGAACACCAUUCUAUUCAGGACUCCCAGCAUUAUAUAUUGAGCGACAAUACCACAAUCCUGUAAAUAUUUUGCAAACGGUCACAUUUGUUGUCCAAUAUCAGUAUAUCGCCCAUAAUACUCACCCCCUCGAUCAAAUCUAACAAUUUAGAUAAUUUUUCCCAAUUGUUUCUCGACUUCAGUGCGAAAUACUUUGAAUAUUUCAAGAGCCUCAAUUUUCUCCUUAAUUAAAUAAACAUAACAAUAACAGAAGAAAUCAUCAAUGAACGUGAUGAAGUACUUAUUUCCACACAAGGUGGUUGAGUACGGCCCACUAAUGUCAGUAUGAAUUAUCUCCAAUAGAUUUUGACUACGAGUAGCACCUUUCUUCUUGAUUUUAGUUAAUUUUCCCCUUACACAAUCAAUACAAGUCUUAGUAUCAUCUGAAUCAAGAGGAGGGAGAAUAUCAGCCUUAAUGAGUUGCUUUACCCUUUCUUUGGAGAUAUGCCCUAAUCGCUUAUGUCAUAGCAAUGAAGAUCUUUCUUUGAUUAAAGAUCUCUUAGCAACAUUAUUCUCGACAUUGAAAAAGCAAUAUGGUUUAUCAAGGGAUAAGGAUAAUCGAUAUAAUCCAUCAAACAAAACACAAUUCCCAAUAAUUCUAGAAUCAUAACUCAAAUCCACUAUUUUAUUCGCAAAGUAAAGACAAUAUCUAACUUUGUCAAGCGAAGAAAGAGAUACUAAGUUUCUCCUAAAACUAGGAAAAUAAAAGACAUUGUUCAAGAUAAGCUGAAAACCAGAAUCUAAAUUCAAAACAACUGUCCAUAAGUGCUCCACAUCAACUCUAGUAUUGUUUCCAACUUUAAGCUUUGACUCCUUCAAACUUGGAUUCCUUAGACUUGUGAGACCCUGUAAGGUAGUUGUCACGCCCUGAUCCUCCGAGCGUGUACCAUCCCUCAUUGGUCGAUUAAAUAGCGACAUCUCAAGACGCGUCGUCGACCCAUUCCUUUUAAUGCACAUAUGGAAGCAAAUAAAUAAAUCCUCAAACAACAACAAGAUGAGAUAGAAAAGCAGGACCACCAAUUAUCAAAAAUCAAACCACACCUUUAUACAUAUUAGACUAAUUCAUAUACAUUAUUAGCCGAUAUUUACAAAGUCUACAAAAAGGUCGACUCUCUAAAACAAGCUAUCCGAUGAUUAGCUAGUCCGACUCGUUCGCUGAUUCGGUAGAGUCCACAGGGUCAGGGCGAGACGGUGGGUCCUCCACUGUGCCAUCAGGAGGGUAAGCUGGACCCUCGUCUAAGGCAACAUCAAUCACCACAGAGGGGAUUUCGAAAGUCCUAAGGGGACCUAGUCUAACACCAUAGAGAGUGGUGCGGAACUAGGCUCUGAAUCGAUUAGGUAUUUCCUGAUGUGGAACCUUUUCGACCCAGACAGUGGUUACGACUAGCUCAUAAACCCAAAAACCUCCGGGAUCGGGAAAACUGGAAACUCGCUCUGUAACUCUCAUGGGACGACCAUGACGUUCGGGGGGAUUCGCCAUCUAAGAACCUGAAAAUGUUAUCCAACAACGGGGUGAGACGAUGUCUCAGCGAGUUCAACCCCCCAAUACUUGAUUAGGAAGAAAAUACGCCAUGAAGGCUACCUAAGCAUAAUCAUGAGUCAGAAGACUUACCUUGGCCUCGAUUCCUUCCUGCAAGUCGAUACAAUUCAAAUAACCAUCCAAUCACUCACUUCACAAAUCAAUUUAUCCCCUCAGAUUGAAUUAUUGAUCAAUCGACUUAAUCGAUUCUAUGUCAUCGAGACCAUUCCCUGGUCAUCUCAAUACUAUCUAUAAAGUCCGAUCAUAAUUAGGACUGCUCACUCUAAGCUAAUAGUAGAUAGAUAGCUCACUAGAAGCUGCCUAAUAUACUGAUAUAGUAUACUAAAUAUGCUCACUAGAAGCUACCUCAUAUACCGUUAUAGUAUACUAAAUAUGCUCGCCAUAAGCUGCCUCAUAUACCGUUAUAGUAUACUAAAUAUGCUCACCAUAAGUUGCCUUAAUAAAUAUGCUCACCAGAAGUUGCCUCAUAUACUAUUAUAGUUUAUAUAAUUGAAUCACCAUUUUUAUCCUUCCCGAUAAAAAUAAUUGUGUGUGGGUACACGGUCGGCCUUAGCCAAAAAUACAAUUUUCUGCCACUUGAAAAUCCCACAAAUUUUAACAGUCCACAAAUCCAUUUUUGGCACUGUAAAUCGACGCUCGGUGAUUUUCUAAUUAAUUAUUGAAAUUAGUAAAUUUUGGGAUAAUUACCCACAAUCACAAAUCACACUCAAUUUGCACAAAAUAACAGUCAAUUAAAUAAACAUAUCACACCACUGCAAUCAGCAUAAAAUUCUGGUCACCGACUAUCUCGGUCUAAUUUCCGAAAAAUAAAUAAUUAAUUAAAUAAUUACAGAAAUUAAUUAUUAAAUACUAAAAAUAGCAACUUAGGUUCGUAAAGCCUAAUUGAAAGCCGAUAUGGGCCCAGAAAAUUUCCGAACCACUCUAAAUAAAUACUAGAGCUUGUCUAGGCUCUAAUUAAACUACUCUAACAACCUAACAUGCAAUAAAGAUUAAUUAAAUUGCUAAUCUAAUCUAACUAUCCACCUAAUCCAGCUUAGACUAAACUAAUCAACCAUUAAACGUCAUUAACUUACUAAUCAAGGAUUAGUGAGUUAAACUCACUUGAUUAGCAAUCCGCUCAGAUCAAAACGACAGGGACGCGGAGGGGCCUAACAAACUCCAAAGCGGGAUCAGGACGGGCCUGAAAACGAGCCUUGCUGCCAACAAACCCUUACUCGUUUUGGCUUCAAAACUUGGGCUGAAGGAGCUACAACGGGCGGCUGGUUCGGGCAUGGCUUGGGCUAGAUUCCGAGGCUGCGGGUGAGGGUGUGGCUUGGCGUCACGGCUGAAACUGCGACUGCUAGGAAGAUGGGCCAAGAUGAACAAAUGGAGGGCCAGCUUCGGUGGAACAAAGGUCAACACCUGAAGAAGAGACGCCACUGGUUGACUGGUGCAAGAAGAAGUGCUGGCAUGUGGGCUGGGGUGUUGUCAUCAGUGGGGUAGCAAAGAAAAAGGGGACCAUCGAAGUAACAAGCUUCGGUGAGAGAAAGAGAGCGAGAGAGAGAGAGAAGCCCGCGAAGACAAAGAAAGAGGGAGGAGAGAUAGGGACGUCAGCUUCGAGGGGGAAAGAAAAGGAAAAUGUGCAGGGAAAAGAAAUAAAAGAAGAAGCAGAAGGGGUUCGACGUUGGCAAGAGAGAGAGAAAUAAAGAGAGAGGAUAAAAAUGGUUUAAAAGUCAAAGAGAGAAAGGCAAAGAGGGGACCAGCUUGCAGGGGCUGUCAGUUUUUUUUGGGGGGGGAGGGGGGAGGAACCGUUCGAGAGAGAGAAAGAAGUAGAGAGAAAAACGUGCGAGAAAUAAGGGAAGAAAAGAAAGAGAGGCGCGCGAAAAAGGGGGAGACCAUAGAAGGGAGGGAAAUUAAGGGCACAAAUGAUAAACAUUCUAACUAGAAAUUGAUUUCUGAAAAAGAAAUAGAUUUUUCUAUUUUUAUUUCUAGAUGAGUUUCUAAGCAAAAAUAUCUAUUUGAUAAUGACAUAAAAUUUUUACUCUAAAAAUAGAAAUUCGUAUGAUAACGACACAAAAUUUCUCCCUUUCGGACGAUGGUGACCGGCAAGCGGAAACCGGUGACUGGCGGCGGUAGCGGCUGACAGGCGACGAUCGGCAGGCUAUAACUAACGACUGGCGAUGGCGGCAACGACGGUUGGCGACCAGCGGCGGCGGAGGCGACGACUGAUGACCAGUGGACGGCGGCGGCCGACAGCCAGCGACCGGUGGAUGGCAGCUGACGGGGGCCGGAGACUAGCAGAUAGCGGCCGGCGACCGGCGGCAGGCAACGGGUAGUGGGUGACUAGCAACUGGCGACCGGCGGCUGACAACUAACGAACAACGGCGACGACCAUCAACAGACAGUGGUCUGCAGCAAUGAAUGGACGAUCGAUUCAUAGUAAAGACGAACGAUGAGAAGAAUUUUUAUUUCUCAUUUCUAUUUUAGAAAUAGAAAAGUAUAAAAUUUUUACUUUUGAUUUAUAUUCCAAACCUAUUUCUGUAACAAAAAUCCAUUUCAAAAAUAGAAAAAUGAAAUAAUUUUAUCAAACGGAUUUCUAUUCCAGAAACAAAUCUAGAAUAGAAAAAUUGUUUCUAGAAUAGAAAUUCUGGUUUGUCAUGCACCCCAUAAAUAAAAACCUCAUAUACUUAUCCAAUCUUGGUCCACAACUUUCAUGUAGAAAGCUUGGUCCUCACUUGCUUCCUUGCACCAUAAUUCUCCCAAAAUAACAAGUCGUGGUUAGCAAAAAUAACCAUUCCUUUCAAUUCCGAGUUCUAUUUUCUUUUUCUCGGAAUCCGAUUUUUGAACAAACUUCUCCGAUUGAGGUCCAAUUUGUUGAGGAAAAAGCCCACGAAAUUUCCUUUCACCAAGUAGCUCACGCCAGAGGCCAGAAAUCCCUUCAAAAUGGUCAAUCUGAAUUUCUGUUCAUUUUUCGAAUCGUCCAAAUCGAUUUUCCGUAAAAAUCUCGAACUCACUGAAAAUUCCUCAAAAGAUAAGUCAAUGUUCCUAAAAUGAUUCGUGACAUGACAGGACUUUCAAUUUCUGAAAUCAAAUUCAAAUUCGCGGUUAAUUUCAAUCUGACGUGAUUUUAGCGUGACCUAACCUACCGAAUACCUUUUAGGAAUUUUUGAUGCAAUUGACUCGUGGUCGAUUUUCUUCGAGCCACACAUACCUCUUCGACACAUUGGCAACUCUCAGUGGUCGUGAAAAACUCCAAGUUUCAAAUACAGACACAAGGUACCCAAAACGACAGAAAAUCGGUCUAGUGCCGAUCAACGAGAAUUUUACAAUCAAGUGGAAUCACCCACACUGUGAUCACACAUCUCGGUCGAAUCGACUUAUCUCCGAUCUCUAAUCGAUUUUUAAUUGUGCCGCAAUGCCCUUGUAGACUAGCACAGUCGAGCAAUCGAUUCCUUGUUGAAUUUUCAAGUCUAUUGCGUUAAAAUCCCUUAAUGGCUUCACCUGAUAGGUCAGUUAUCUCAUAAGUGACCAUCUUAGAGAACAACACUAUAGGCGUGUCGAUGAAAGGCCUAACUUAUCCAAUCGAAAUCAGAACAUGAAAAUCAGAAUGUCACAGUAGUAGUCACAUGAAUAGUAGCACCAAAAUCAAGCUACCAAGAAUCCAAAGAAGCAUCAACUAAAUUUGAUUGAAAACAAACUAACAACUCACCUUGGUAACUUUCUUUUCUUACUUUUAGCCAAACUUGGAACUUGUAGCAAUUGGCUCUCUUGUGACCAUGUUUCUUGCAGUGGAAACACUUGAAAUCUUUAUCUCCAUUUCUCCCAUAGUUCAUUUUUCUUGAAGUCUUGGCCUUUCUUUGAACCAUGAGCAUUUGACCCUUUAGGCUUCCAUUUGCCUCUAGAUGAACUCAACUUGGCAUUGGCAGUUAAGUGGGCGAACUCAUACUUUUCCUACUUUAACUUAUUUUCCUCAAUCACACACUUGUUAAUCAAGGCAUUAACGCUCCAUGUCUUAUUCUAAGCAUUAUAAGCAGUCUUAAUCUAGCUAAAUUCAACUGGCAGAACAUUUAAGGUGUCAUGCACAAUAUAAUUUUCAGAAAGAAUAAUUUCAUGGGCCUUAAGUUUGGACUGAAUGUGGACCAUCUUUUGUAUAAAUUCUCUAACAUCCAUAGCAGCAGCAUACCUCAUAUUCGUUAACUCACUCAGCAAGUACCCAGCUUCAGCCUUAUCUGAGAUUCUAUAUCUUUCUCUCACUACUUUAAGGAACUGUCUGGCAUUCGUAUCUUCCGGCAAACCACUAAUGAGAUACUCAGCAAUGGAUCUCUUCAUAGCAAUGAGGCUUAGUCAGUUAGAUUUUUCCCAUCUAGCAUAAUGGGCCUUUUGAUCUACAGUACUUUGAUCAUUGGGCCUAGUAGGUUUAUCCUCACGUAAAGCCAAGUCCAUAUCAACGAUGCCCAGAGCAAACUCUAUAUCUUGCUUCCAUCUCUUGAAGUUUGAUCUAAUUAACAUUUCAACCGUAUCAUUGUUGUUAUUUACAACAAAGGUAACUGUUUGUCACGCAUAAUGCAAUAAGAUCAAUUAUGGACAAUAAGUAAUUCAACAAAAAUAAUUAGUACAUUAUAAACUCCCAUUUGAGUAGAGUGUAUAAUGCACCAUUAUUUUUCACAGCAUGAAGUUUAUAAAGCAACAACAAGAAAAAUUACAUAUAAUUGUCAAGGAUACAUCCCCUUUAGGCAGACAAAUCAUUUAAAUUAUAUAUCUCCAUAAUAUCAAUAUAGAGGGGAAUUACAUAUAAUUUUCAAAACAUUUAUCUCCUUUGGACAGAUAAAUAUUUUUCAAUUAUAUACAUCCCAAUCUUUCAAAUAUGGGAAUUAAUCUUCAUGAUUUUUGCCAAAUUAAUAUACACAAUAACCCCAUUUGGGUGAGCAAUUGUAUAUAUUAAUUUUUAUCAAUAGGAAACUCCGAUAAUUUAUGCCCAAAAUCCAUCGAACAAUAUGAAAUAUUUUACAACAUGUGCUUCCAAAGAUCAUAUUGCACUUUUUCAAACAACAAUUUUUGCCACAAUUUUUUUAAAUUUAUUAUUUUAAUAUUUUAGACCCACCCGCGGGCCCUAACCCGCGCCCAGCCCAUAGACCAGCAAGAGCCCACAUAGGCCACUUGGAACAGGCCCAUCACUUCUUUUAAUUAAAAUUGGCCCACAAUUGGGCUAUCGGCCCAAAGGAAAUUAGAUUGGGCUCACGCCCAUUAAAAACAAUAUUCGCCUAGAACCUGAAACAAAAAAAACAAAAAAAAAACAAAAAAAAACAAAAAAAAAAAAGAGAAAGAAAGAAAGGACGCCCAUCCAUAAGUAAGGGUUCUGGGCAUAGCCCAAAACUUCAAAAACGUUCAAAAAAAAAAAAGGAUGGGCUGUUUUAAAUGGCCCCCAAAAUUUAAAGAAAAUAUGGGCUUAUUUAGGCCCAGGCCCGGCUGGAGGUCUUCUUCAACCUCUAGCCGGGUCCUGAAUUUUUGCAAACCGGGUCACACGACCCGAUUUCAACCCAAAGCUCCAAAAACACAAAUUAACUUGAUGUUGUAUAAAUUUCUCCAUGGAACUUGCAUAUAACAUCAAUAAAAUUGACUAGAAUGAAUUAAACGAAGAAAAACCAAGUAAAUCAACCACAUACAAGCUUCAAAAUUUCGGAUCCAAGCCUCCCAUGGCCGAAAAUUCGGUUUUCUUAAAUUUAAUCUUCCCAGUAGCCCCUAAUUUUUAACUUAUCAUCGUCUUGUUAAAUAUUGAAUACACUAACCUUUUGUUGGCAUGUUAGAUCAUAUGUCAACACCGCAUGCUUUAACUGUCAAAUGAAAUACCUUUCCUAAUUUGUGACAUGAAAUGAUAUGUCUUCUUGUGUCUAUUACCAAGUGAUGUGUGAGCAUCAUAAAAAAAAUAUUUAUGCACAUGGUUAAUUCACAUCAUUAGAUGAAUGACUUUCUUUCCUUCAUCCUUUGUUCAAUUAAUAAAUCAAGGGAGCGUUCAGUUACGCAGGGCCACUACCAUUUUGCCAAUACCACAUUAUCAGCAUUAGCCGACUGCAUAAUGGAGAAAAUGUGAUAAAUUUGAAGUUAGAUUUGUCUUUUACCUUGAGCUUCAUCAAAAUCUCUUGCGUCACCAAAUGAAUGAAUUGCCAGUGCCUGUCACAUUAGUGAAUCAUCUAAGUUGAAAUUGCAAAAGAUGACCUCAAGACAAUUGACAAGAGAUCACAAUCAACAUGGCCAGUACCAUAAAUGACGUGGUUGAUGCUGUCACCAAAAAUAGUUUUCAAAACACACUUAGUAUUCAAUCAAUUUCAAACGACCUAAACGAGAUCUUAUCCAAGUUAAAACAAAAGUUAAUGGAGUGAUUUAGGAAACCAACAUCCCCUUCCUUCUUCAACUCACAUCCUUUAAUUUGGGCAACAAAUCUGAGGGCAUCCUUCCACUCUCUUGUUGUUUGCAGGCCAAACUUCUCUUCAUGCUUCACCAUAGCCUUAAUGUACAGUUGAGACUCAAGCUUGACAUCACGAGGCUUCACAUUAUAGAAAAUCGGCAAAAUCUCAUUCUCGGAUAAUUUUGAUUUCUUGCAUUUUACGAUGUGUACAAGCUCACCAAGACACCACAGACUUGAAGCAUAACCUUUAAAAAAAAUGGGUACAUAGAUCUUUGAUUUUUCGAUAGCAAUCUGCAGCUCAUCUUCUAUUUUUUUACCCACAGGGAGUUCUAUCUCGUCGAAGAAAACACGGAUAUUCGCAUCUCGCAAAACAUGGUAAAAGCAAUUUGUGAAUCCUUGACGAGUGUCCUUCCCCUAAAAUUCAAAAGGAUCUCAUAGUCAUUCCCCGACAACACGCCACCCCUCUUUCCAGCCCUCAAGCUCCUUCCCAUUCCUAGUGCCACGGAGUCAUUUCGCCUGUGGCAGUAAUUUUGUUUAGCCAUUUUACGGAUUCCACUCAUUCCUUGGAUUUGCACAAAAAGUGCUGGGAAUUGCUGGUCCGACAACAUCGCAAUCGCCCGAGAGUUUCCUCUCCCAAAGCACCUGACCAAUGAAAUGCACGUUCGUGAAAAUGAACGACAUUCUCCGACCAUAAAAAUGAUCGACUCCUCUGGCUCUUAGAUUCUCAGAGCAUCUUGCAUAUCACCAUUGUAACGGACUCUUCUCUCUCUCGAGUGGUUCGUCAUAGCAGGCGGACUACUCGAAAUUUUGAAAUUCCGGUGACGAUUAUGAUGGGACCCUAAGCAUAUCCCAUAUGCUCAAGACGUCCAAUAAGUUGGGCCCAAUGAACACGGAAACAUGCAAAUCGAUAGGCCCAAUGGGCCUUUUGGUGCUUUUAUAUCGUACUCGUGAGAAGGUUAGGCAGUACUUCGAGUUUGCUGCGACGCCUUGAACGCAAAUCUCUCCAGGCGAGGAUGUAAAUGCAAUCUUAAGUUCAAUGAAAGUACCGUCCCAUGGUAAAGCGUGUACGAAACUAGAAUUUAAAAUUGACAAUAGACAGAUCCGUUCCGUGGGGAAGGUACAAGUUAUUAACAAGCUGCCAUUAGUCCUCUCAAAAGUUUUUUUUUUUUUUUUGUCAAUCCUACUAUAUGCCUAUUCUACACCCAUUCUCAGUCUUUUGCCCUGCAAGAGGCAGGGCGUGAAAGUCGAAACCCAUUCCUGAAACUUACUCGUCCUCUCAGAAGUUACAUGAUUUAGCUCCGUCAAAAGAAGUAGGAAAAAAAAAAAAAACCUUCUUAUUUUGGGAAUAAUUUUUAAAAAUAAUUUUUUUUCUUUUUUUUUCUUUUCUACUUAUUGCUCAUUGCCCUCUAUCGGCCACCCCCACGACCAGUUGCCCAUUACCAAAUUAAUUUAAAACAAUGUGGAAGUCAUUUUUCUCUAUUUGACUACGCUUUUCCUUAUCGAUUGAAAGUAUUUUCCUUGACUAAUUUAAUUUUUGCACGCCAAACACUGAAAUAUCUGGAAAAAAAAAUUUGGGAGGUUUAUUUCUUCCUUGAAACAAACGGAGCCGUAAGUUAUUUUUUAAUAUAAAAUCAGAGGUUACUCGAAAUUAACUUGAUCCUUCUCAAGUUCAACUAAUUAACAUGCUUCAAGUUUAAAAAUAUUCUAAUGGAGUAGCUCGAAAUCUAACAAAUUAAUUGAACUUUUACAUAUCGAAUUACUUAUAGGCAUUAUUGAACGCUAUGAACAAUUAAAGAGUACUGUUUUUAGAUUUGAUUUUAUGUAAGAUUUGGGGCUCGAGCAUAGAUUGAUCUCGUACGAAAAUUCACCCAGUAGAAGAGUCGAGCCAAUCCAAGCUUAACAAUAGCAUAUAUGUUUUCAGUUCGAAUCUGUAGCACCAUCUUUUCCAAAGUUCAUCAUAUCAUGGGCAGGAGCUAAUCAACUCCAGAACUAAAAGUUCAAUUGCUGAAGAUGAUGCUGAGCAAGAUAUCCAUAAAGACAUAAGGCAGAGUCAGCUAAAUAAUAUAUCCUAUGGUCGAGCAUAAUUCUAGUAACUUUGUCGGGUGCUACCACACAUACAAUACGAUCAGGAAUCUCGGCCACACUCCACUAGGUCCUAAAGCAACCCACUCGUCACGAAGCUCGUACGAGGCAUAAAUCUUCAUCACAACGUGAGAAGUUGCAGGAGCAGAUCUCACCUGAAGUAGGCAGGAUUGUGUUUGGCCUCUUUCCUAGUGGGCACCGAGCCUCUCCGAAAUUCCAAGAGACCGCACAAAGUGCAAAUGCAACAAAAGGGAUGGGAGGGAUGGGACCGAGAAGUCAGAACGUAAACAAAAGCGCAUUAAUGCCAAAACGAAAUGCAAAAAGUCAAACCACUUGGUUGUGUCUCAACUUUCCCACCAAGUGAGAGCGGUGUAGCUGUAAAGAUGAAACAAAAACUGCAAGCGAGAUGAUAGGGACACCACCACUGUAGCUGGAUGCGUUCAUUUGAAAAGAAGGAAAAGAAAUUGAUCAAUCACUGGGAAAAGAAAAGGAUGGAUUAACAGUAUUGACUAGGACAUAUCAGAAGGGAUUCAGAGGGAAAUUUCCAAUCCUUUCUCUUUCCUCCACUAAAACAAACCAGACAACAUGAGCUGAAAAUCACCCCCUCCAAUUCCCUUACUUUUUCUCCGAAUCUCUCCAACCAAAGGGUUGUGUACUUGAUGACAUGAUUGAAGACUGCCACCCAGAAUCUUGACACAUCGGAGCUGACAAGAACCAAAAUCAUGCAAUCGUUCUCCGCAGUGGUCUGCAUUUUCUAACUACGUGCUGCAGAAAUGUAAUGAAAAAGCAACACAUUCUAAAGGAAACUUCAAGACCAUUCUCUAUGCAAGCAUAGGUGCACAUGCAUCAGUCAUGAUCCACACUGCACAUCCGCACAUCCGCACAUCCGCACCCACCCACGCACAGAGAGAGAGAGAGAGAGAAAGUUUUCCCCUGAGCACUGAUAACACGAUCAUGAUCCUAAAUUUCCUGAUGAAAUACCAGGAAUGCAUGUCUGCAUUUGAGCAUUAGACUAAUCACAUAUUGGCAUAAAAUCUAACCAAGGCCAGUAACCAAAAGGAGAAAGAAAAUGGAGCGAGAAGGUUCCUUCUAAUUCUCACUCUUCUCUAAUGUCCAAUUCCCUGUUUAGCUAUUUUUGGGCAGGACAAAGACCAUCAUAUUGGAUAGGCAAACAUAAUCUCUCAGCUUAUAGCGACGAAUCCAGCUGAGUAAUGAUAACAGGCAGCAAUAAAACCACAGGUGUGUGUGUGAUCUGCAGAGCCCUUGACACAAUCUACGACUGCAAGAGUAUUUGCCUUCUACUUAAGAUUCAUAUGCAAAGUAAGCACCUGCAUAUGAGAGGGGGGGGGGGGGGGAACAUUAUUUCAAGUAAAGCAAACAAACAAGAAAUCAUCAGUAACUCCUCAAAAGAUGCAUGAUGACAGUCAGUACCAUUGUCAUGUAACACUGUAUGGGAUAUCACAACCAUCAUAUAACUAUGUUAACUGGAACAAUACAAAAUGCUACAAAACUCGAUGGACAAGAAUCAAGAGAGAUCUCAUCAAUGUUAUUGCAGUAAGCUAGCCACCCUAAGCAUGUAUUACCUAUUUAUUUCAAGACCCACCGUCCCAUACCUAUUAUAUUACAAUGCCCUGGCCGAGCCAUCAAAAUACCCAAAAACAAUCGACCAACUUCAAGUGCUUUCUGCUGGGGUAAGAUGCCCCAAUUGUCCUGUUAGGUUAUUUACGGUCUUUGCAUUCCACCAAAACCUGCUGUGAUCAGCGGGUUUGCUCUCAUUCCUUCUACCAUCAGUAUCCUUUCUUUCUGACUGAACUUCCUGAACAUCGGAGGAACCAGGAUUCUCCGUCAAGAAUUGCUCCCAGAAGACAUCGUUAACCCCUGCUGGCACAUUAGGAGCUGUGGCUACAGCUUGUUCUUUAGACGAAACUGGCUCAGAAGCAACGGUCAAAGCUGGCUCGGAAGUAGUAACCACGGCAGGCUCAAAAACAGUAGCAGCAGUGGGCUCAGAAUUCAUGUCAAUUGUGGGUGAUCUAGGCCGUGCAUCAAUAUUAAACUGAAUGCAGGAUAUAGCAGGGCUAUCAGCACAACUAGUAGUCUCAUCGAAGUCUAGGGUUGAGUUGCGCUGACCAAUGUUUUCACAAUCAUGCGCAAUGUAUUCCCAGAUUGUGAGCGAUGAUUCCAAUUGUUCAUAUAAAUCCAAUAUCGAUGGUAAGGAUGAAGCUCCAUCAAUGUUUUCUCUUGUCAAAGUUUGGGGAGUCCCAGCAUGAUUGUCUUCACCAUGUCCCUCAUCAUGGUAGUAACCAAUUCGAGGCAAUCUCCUCUUCUUAUCAUUAAACUCCGACUCAAUCAACAUAUUAAGGGCAAGACCAGGUUUCUGCAGAACAUUACCCAAGUUAGACACCAUAUUCUUCUGUCGCUCUUCCAUUUUCAAAAGCCGUGCCUUCAAAUUCUGCAUCUGCACUUCAAAGCCUUUCCUCUCUUCUUCAUGCACCUGUAGCUCCAACUGAAGAGAUUCCU